GUGAGACUCUGUCUCACCAAAAAAAAAAAAAAAAAAAAGAAUAAAGCAUAGCCAAGAAGGUAAGUUUAGAUAGAUAGAUUUAUAAACUCUGAUGUCCUUUAAGUACUUGGUAACCUUUUGAUUCUCAUUUUUAAACCAUACAUUCGUUGCUUUAGACAAUAUACAACCGGUGCAAGCAUGCUGCUGCAAAUUCAAGCCCUCCUGAGAAUAGCAACAUUACAGGAUUGUACGCAACUGCUAACCCUGUUCCAAGCCAGCAUCCUUGUUUCAAGCCAUGGAGUUACAUUCCUGAUGGAAUCAUGCCAAUUUUCUGGAGGGUAGUGUAUUGGACGUCACAAUUUUUAACAUGGUAAGUUACAGUAAAUGAUAAAAUUUUUAAAAUUUUGGCUAAAGGAAUAAAAUGUUGUUUUUCAAUCAA
This 418-nucleotide small RNA is filed under the name Pan troglodytes (chimpanzee). RNAcentral's name for it is "retained intron". Lineage: Eukaryota; Metazoa; Chordata; Mammalia; Primates; Hominidae. The record is from RNAcentral.